CAUUUGUGCUACCGCAAGGGUUUCCUGAAAGCUUCGGUUUUCGGAAUUAAAAGGGAAUCGGGUGUAAAUCCCGGACAGUCCCAGCUGCUGUAAUCCUAUAAAAAAGUGUAUCGCACUUUGCCACUGUUUCCAAAUUCGAAACGGGAAGGCGCAAUACACUAGGAAAGUCAGAAGACCUGCCAUUGCAAAGUUCAACUA
Molecule: non-coding RNA, 198 nt
Filed under: Roseivirga ehrenbergii
Lineage: Bacteria; Pseudomonadati; Bacteroidota; Cytophagia; Cytophagales; Roseivirgaceae
Source: RNAcentral